AGGCUGUCUUGGCCCUGAUGCAGAGCCCGUCCCCACCAUCCACCCUUCCUGCGUCUCUAAAUUCACAGUGGUCACAGACGUAAAAGCAGCCCUACCAGAAAAUGAAAGAGAAGUAGCGCAGGAGAACCCGGUUUAAAUAAAAGCCAGACUCGGCAGGGCUUAGUGGGAAGCGGCAUUCCAGCUCACCAACGUGGAAUAGUCAGCAGGAAGAGGAAAUAUUUCUGUAAAACUGAGUUCACUGAAGUCAAAGUCCCUGGAUUGGAAGCAAAGGUGUUCAGGCUGUCGUCUCGGAGCCGGCCCGGCCUCCCUGUAUCAUACCGGCCACCAGAGUGGGCAGCCGGAAGAGGCUCUGGCUGGGCUGCUGCUUCUUCCACAGCAAGUGGCUUCCAGCCUGGGGCUGCAACAUUCCUACCUAGAAGCUUCUCUCAGCUUUUUAUUGCACCUCAAGACCUGCCUUCCUAAGUCAGUGUGGAAGAGGACCAAGAAGAGAGAAGAGCCCAGAUCCAAAUGGCCCAUAUUCCUCACUAAAGGUCCGCAAGCUCAGCCAUCCAACUCCCUCCCUCACCCCACCCCACCUCUGGCUACAGCCAAACUCGAAUGGGAAGUGAAGGGCAGGUGGGGGUGCAGGAACAGCCCAGGAGUCUUCACUCGCCCUGGGGAGCCUGCACUCUGCUUGCCCAGUGGGCCUCCCAUAAAUAUUUGCUGGAUAAAUAAUGAAUUUGAGAAUGCAGCACGCAGCCAGUCCAAACCAGCUCCUCCCAAAAGAACUCUGCAAGGAUGAAGAUGUGUUCCAUCUGCCUUGCUUGGCCUGGGAGACACGGGUGGCCAGGAAUCCAUCCUGAUGAGCAGGAUGGAUUUCCCAAGGCUUUCCAUUAUGUAAACUGAAAUUGUAUUAGUGAGCAUGGUACCACCUGCCUAGAAUCCCAGCACUCAGGAGGCUGAGGCAGGAGGAUCUUGGGUUUGAAGGCAGGCUGCACUACAUGGUAAGGUCCUGUCCCAAACAAACAAACAACAUUGUGAACAUUUGAAAAACGAAAGUCCCUGGGGGCUGGAGAGAUGGCUCAGUGGUUAAGAGCACUCGCUACCCUCGAGAGGACCCAGGGCUGCUUCCCAGCACCCACACUGUGGCUCACAACCAUCAAUUACUCCAGUUUCAACACUUCAUGCACAUGUGACAGACAUACAGCAAAGCUCAUACACAUAAAAUACAUGUUAAAACAGUCACAGGCUGGACUUUUAACUGCUCAGCAGUUAAAAGCAUGUACUGCUUGCCAGACACAGGGGUGCACACCUUUAAUCCCAGCACUUGGGAGGCAGAGGCAGGCGGAUCUCUGAGUUGAGGCCAGGCUACAAAGUGAGUUCCAGGACAGCCACACUGGUACACAAAGAAAUCCUGUCUCAAAAAAACAAAAAAAAAAAGUACACACUGCUGAUUUUAAUUGGGUCCUGGCACCCACCUCGGGUGGCCCACAAUCACCUGUAACUCCAGCUCAAGGGGAUCUGACGCCCUCUUCUGGCCUCCAUCGGCACCUUCCCUCCCACAUGCAUGCACAGAAUUAAACAUUUUUUGAAAGGGUCCUAAAUGCCUCGUGGGCUGCGGCUGCCCAAACCCUGUUUCCCCCCUGCUCC
Non-coding RNA from Peromyscus maniculatus bairdii (prairie deer mouse), 1629 nucleotides. The record is from RefSeq and is a predicted model, not a curated record. Lineage: Eukaryota; Metazoa; Chordata; Mammalia; Rodentia; Cricetidae.